GAGGGUUUUCCUCCCCUUAGUGAUGAAGUUAAAGCACUAAGCCCCUCCCCGGGGGAGUACGGGCGCAAGGGUGAAAAUCAAAGGAAUUGACGGGGGGCCGCACAAGCGGUGGAGCAUGUGGUUUAAUUUGAAGCAAAGGGAAGAACCUUACCAGGUUUUGACAUCCUUUGACAACCCUAGAGAUUGGGGUUUUCCUUUGGGAGCAGAGUGACAGGUGGUGCAUGGUUGUCGUCAGCUUGUGUUGUGAGAUGUUGGGUUAAGUUCCGCAACGAGGGCAACCCUUGAUUUUAGUUGCCCUCCUUUAGUUGGGCAAUUUAAGGUGACUGCCGGUGACAAACCGGGGGAAGGUGGGGAUGACGUCAAAUCCUCCUGCCCCUUUUGACCUGGGGUACACACGUGGUACAAUGGGCGGUACAAAGAGGUGCAAGACCGGGAGGUGGAGGUAAUUUCAUAAAACCGUUUUCAGUUUGGAUUGUAGGGUGCAACUUGCCUACCUGAAGCUGGAAUCGGUUGUAAUCGGGGAUCAGCCUGCCGCGGUGAAUACGUUUCCGGGCCUUGUACACACCGCCCGUCACCCCCCGAGAGUUUGUAACCCCCGAAGUCGGUGGGGUAACCCUUUU
RNAcentral lists this ribosomal RNA (620 nucleotides) under Brevibacterium casei. Its description in RNAcentral is "bacterial SSU rRNA". It matches the Rfam family "Bacterial small subunit ribosomal RNA", at positions 825 to 1444 of the family's 1533-position model. The record is from RNAcentral. Lineage: Bacteria; Bacillati; Actinomycetota; Actinomycetes; Micrococcales; Brevibacteriaceae.